AAGAACCCACCUUUGAGGAUGC
This 22-nucleotide non-coding RNA is filed under the name Rattus norvegicus (Norway rat). The record is from RNAcentral. Lineage: Eukaryota; Metazoa; Chordata; Mammalia; Rodentia; Muridae.